GCUGGUCAAACGGAACCAAGCC
RNAcentral lists this microRNA (22 nucleotides) under Columba livia (rock pigeon). RNAcentral's name for it is "cli-miR-133b-5p". Its record names the gene cli-miR-133b-5p. Lineage: Eukaryota; Metazoa; Chordata; Aves; Columbiformes; Columbidae. The record is from miRBase by way of RNAcentral. RNAcentral also lists the same sequence under 2 other names.